This is a long non-coding RNA of Pieris rapae (cabbage white), 1225 nucleotides long. RefSeq lists it as uncharacterized. The record is from RefSeq and is a predicted model, not a curated record. Lineage: Eukaryota; Metazoa; Arthropoda; Insecta; Lepidoptera; Pieridae. The transcript is spliced from 3 exons.
UUUACUUUGUGUCUUCACAGUCGUAAAAAUGCCACUUAUACAAAAUUCAAACAGAGAAGGAGUCGAUAGAGAAAGAGAUAGAGAUCUCGUGUCACCAGUACAUGUAACCCUUCUUAAUGUAGUUAUUUCAAUCACAAACUUGUGUCUCGGUGGCGUAACUUUGAGUGCAUUAAUUUUUGUACACACAUUUGUAACGUCUACAUCGUUCAAGCAACAUGUGUAUCUGUGUGUUAUUGGAUACGUCAUCAUAAUGACACAGGCAGUCCUUUCACUGAACCCACACACUGGUUGGGCUCGGAUGGUUAAAUAUGAGAAUCGGAGAAUGGUUCACUGGACCCUACAAAUCGUUGGCACAAUUCUUGUAUCAAUUGGGAGUAUUAUACGGAUGUCGAAUGUCAGAACCAAUUUUAAUUCUACUCAUGGUAUACUUGGGAUCGUCGCAUUUGUCUCUACAAUACUCACCAUGAUCGGAGGGAUUGUCAACGCCAACUCUAGCAGACUAAACUUGAAUAAGACCUUCAUGACUCUAGCGCAUUCCUGUCUUGGAUCAUUGACUUUAUGUUCUGCAUUUCUUGCUUUAUGUUUUGCAUUCAAUUCAAUGUUCUAUAGAGUGGCUUUGGGUGAUAAAAGUGCUAAUUUCGGAAUAGCCCUCUCUGUCGUUGCGUUAGUUGGUACUUUAGUGUCGCCUAGUUUAGAUUUCGUCAAACGAAUAUUUCAUAGUAGAUAGAAUAUUAGUAACUAGAUAUAAAACUACUUUAUUAAUUUCGUUAUAUAAUUUAAAAACAGGUUGAUAUCCGAAAACCUUGUAACAAAGUAGCUUUUAUAAUAAAAAGCCUCUUAGUAACUUAAUUGUCAUCAGUUUAAAGCUCUUUUAAAUAAUCUGUGAAUAUCAUUUCUAAACGAUGACAGUCAACAGAUUCAGCACAAUUUGACAUCUUGUUCACACAGUGAAUGUUAAAUUGUAAUUUUAAACUUUUUGUUUUUUUGGAAAAAAUUUUUUGUUUAUCGUUUUUAUCGUAUGAUUUAAUUACAAAUCAUUUUUUAAAGGCGAUAAGCGAUGGCAUGUUAAGUAAUGGAAAAAUAGUUUAACAAUUUCUAGUAAUUGAGAUAGUCAUUUUUUUUUAAUUAGGUUUAAACUUAUAUCAAAGAUGCGGUCAAAGUAUGACAGACUAUUUAUAAAAAAAAACAAGCAUAUAUUAUAGCACUGAAAUAAGGAUUAAAUAAU